RNAcentral lists this ribosomal RNA (1175 nucleotides) under Symphurus atricaudus (California tonguefish). RNAcentral's name for it is "partial 16S ribosomal RNA". It matches the Rfam family "Bacterial large subunit ribosomal RNA", at positions 597 to 2549 of the family's 2925-position model. Lineage: Eukaryota; Metazoa; Chordata; Actinopteri; Pleuronectiformes; Cynoglossidae. The record is from RNAcentral.
CCUCGUACCUUUUGCAUCAUGAUUUCGCCAGCCCACCAAGGCAAAGAGCCCUUUAGUCUUACACCCCGAACCUUAGCGAGCUACUCCCAGCCUGCCGUUUUACGGGCUAACCCUCCUCUGUAGCAAAAGAGAUGGGGAGAGCUGCGAGUAGAGGUGACAGAUCUACCGAGCUAAGUGAUAGCUGGUUUUCUAGGAAAUGAAUACAGUUCAGCCUUUUCUGUUCUUCACAAAAUUAAAGAGUUAGUCAAAGGGGGUACAGCCCCUUUGAAACAGACACAACUUUGCAAGGGCGGAUAAAGAUCCCACCUACACAAGGAACCUGUGCUGAAGUAGGCCUAUAAAGCAGCCAUCUACUUAAAAAGCGUUAAAGCUUAAGCCAAGUAUUUUGACCCCGAAUUCUAAAUCCCCCAUUUUUACUAGAACACUCUACUUUUGUAGAAAAGACAAUGCUAGAAUGAGUAAUAAGAGGGCUGCCCCUCUCCCGAGCCCCUGUGUAAUUUGGAGCAGACAAGCUACCAACAAUUAAGCGACCUCAAAUAAGCGAGAAUUAAGCACUGUGCUAGAAGAGCACUUAUCGUUAACCCUACACUGGAAGGCAAUCAGGGAAAGACUAAAAGGGGGAGAAGGAAUUCGGCAAACAAGCCCCGCCUGUUUACCAAAAACACCGCCUCUUGCGCCCAUAAGAGGUCAAGCCUGCCCUGUGACAUAAGUUUAACGGCCGCGGUAUUCUGACCGUGCUAAGGUAGCGUAAUCACCUGUCUUUUAAAUGAAGACCCGUAUGAAUGGUUUAACGAAGGCUUAGCUGUCUCCUCCCCCCAGUCAAUGAAAUUGACCUCCCCGUGCAGAGGCGGGGAUUUCUUCAUAAGACGAGAAGACCCUGCGGAGCUUUUAAAUACAUGUUAACGCCAAGUCAAGACCCCAGCAAAAUGAUGAACUUAAUGGCACUACACAAUAUUUUUGGUUGGGGCGACCCUGGGGAAAAUCUAACCCCCAUGUGGACUGAGGACAACCUCAAAGCACAGAAAGACAUUUCUAAAACCCAGAAUUUCUGACCUACAGGAUCCGGCAAAGCCGAUCAACGAACCCAGUUACCCCAGGGAUAACAGCGCAAUCCUCUUUCAGAGCCCCUAUCGACAAGAGGGUUUACGACCUCGAUGUUGGAUCAGGACAUCCUA